UACGAAGGGUGCAAACGUUGCUCGGAAUCAUUGGGCGUAAAGCGCACGUAGGCGGCUUCGCAAGUCGGAUGUGAAAUCCCUCAGCUUAACUGGGGAACUGCGUCUGAUACUGGAUGGCUUGGAUUUGGGAGAGGGAUGCGGAAUUCCAGGUGUAGCGGUGAAAUGCGUAGAUAUCUGGAGGAACACCGGUGGCGAAGGCGGCAUCCUGGACCAACAUUGACGCUGAGGAGCGAAAGCCAGGGGAGCAAACGGG
This 253-nucleotide ribosomal RNA is filed under the name uncultured bacterium. Its description in RNAcentral is "partial 16S ribosomal RNA". It matches the Rfam family "Bacterial small subunit ribosomal RNA", at positions 524 to 776 of the family's 1533-position model. The record is from RNAcentral.